RNAcentral lists this long non-coding RNA (202 nucleotides) under Musa acuminata (dwarf banana). Its description in RNAcentral is "long non-coding RNA (MACU_LNC008960)". The record is from RNAcentral. Lineage: Eukaryota; Viridiplantae; Streptophyta; Magnoliopsida; Zingiberales; Musaceae.
GAGAAGUGGUGACUCAUACAUGAACAGAAAGAAUCAUAAUAUCUUACUUAUGUUUUUUUGUUAUGCAAAUGGUUAACUUAUAGUUAUAUUUUGAUUGAUAUUACUUAGUGAUAAUUAUUAAAAUUUAAAAUUUGAAAUGAUUAUAACUUGAAAUUAUAAAUUAAUUAAACAUUAAUUUUUGGGCUUGAAUAAUGAAUUAUAA